CCUACGGGUGGCAGCAGUGAGGAAUAUUGGUCAAUGGGCGAGAGCCUGAACCAGCCAAGUCGCGUGUAGGAUGACGGCCCUACGGGUUGUAAGCAUCUUUUGUCAGGGAGCAGUUGUGUACACGUGUGGUCUUAGCGAGAGUACCUGAAGAAAAAGCAUCGGCUAACUCCGUGCCAGCAGCCGCGGUAAUACGGAGGAUGCGGGCGUUCUCCGGUUUUAUUGGGUUUACGGGGUGCGUAGGCGGAAUAUCAAGUCAGCGGUAAAAAGUCGGGGCUCACCCCCGUCGUGCCGUUGAAACUGGUGUGCUUGAGUGGGCUAGAAGUAGGUGGAAUUCAUGGUGUAGCGGUGAAAUGCUUAGAGAUCAUGAAGAACUCCGAUCGCGAAGGCAAGUGUCCGGGGUGCAACUGACGCUGAGGCUCGAAAGUGCGGGUAUCAAACAGGAUUAGAUACCCGAGUAGUC
Molecule: ribosomal RNA, 460 nt
Filed under: uncultured bacterium
Lineage: Bacteria
Description: partial 16S ribosomal RNA
Rfam family: Bacterial small subunit ribosomal RNA
Source: RNAcentral